CCUACGGGUGGCAGCAGUGGGGAAUAUUGCACAAUGGGGGAAACCCUGAUGCAGCGACGCCGCGUGAGCGAAGAAGUAUUUCGGUAUGUAAAGCUCUAUCAGCAGGGAAGAAAAUGACGGUACCUGAGUAAGAAGCUCCGGCUAAAUACGUGCCAGCAGCCGCGGUAAUACGUAUGGAGCAAGCGUUAUCCGGAUUUACUGGGCGUAAAGGGAGCGUAGGCGGUCUGCCAGUCUGGUGUGAAAAACCGAGGCUCAACCCCGAGGCUGCAUUGGAAACUGGCAGGCUGGAGUGCAGGAGAGGCAGGCGGAAUUCCUAGUGUAGCGGUGAAAUGCGUAGAUAUUAGGAGGAACACCAGUGGCGAAGGCGGCCUGCUGGACGGUGACUGACACUGAGGCUCGAAAGCGUGGGGAGCAAACAGGAUUAGAUACCCCAGUAGUC
Molecule: ribosomal RNA, 439 nt
Filed under: uncultured bacterium
Lineage: Bacteria
Description: partial 16S ribosomal RNA
Rfam family: Bacterial small subunit ribosomal RNA
Source: RNAcentral